CCUACGGGAGGCAGCAGUGGGGAAUAUUGCGCAAUGGGCGAAAGCCUGACGCAGCGACGCCGCGUGAGGGAUGAAGGUCUUCGGAUCGUAAACCUCUGUCAGCAGGGAAGAACGGUCACUGUGCUAAUCAGCAGUGAAUUGACGGUACCUGCAAAGGAAGCACCGGCUAACUCCGUGCCAGCAGCCGCGGUAAUACGGAGGGUGCGAGCGUUAAUCGGAAUUACUGGGCGUAAAGCGCUCGUAGGCGGUAUGUCAAGUCAAGGGUGAAAUCCCCGCGCUCAACGUGGGAACUGCCUUUGAAACUGGCAAACUGGAGUGUGUGAGAGGAUAGUAGAAUUCCAGGUGUAGGAGUGAAAUGCGUAGAGAUCUGGAGGAACAUCAGUGGCGAAGGCGACUAUCUGGCACAUAACUGACGCUGAGGAGCGAAAGCGUGGGUAGCAAACAGGAUUAGAUACCCCGGUAGUC
Molecule: ribosomal RNA, 465 nt
Filed under: uncultured bacterium
Lineage: Bacteria
Description: partial 16S ribosomal RNA
Rfam family: Bacterial small subunit ribosomal RNA
Source: RNAcentral